CGGGGUGUGGCGCAGUCCGGUAGCGCGCUAGUUUUGGGAACUAGAUGUCGGAGGUUCAAAUCCUCUCACCCCGA
This 74-nucleotide transfer RNA is filed under the name Candidatus Wallbacteria bacterium HGW-Wallbacteria-1. Its description in RNAcentral is "tRNA-Pro". It matches the Rfam family "tRNA". From Rfam's summary of the family: Transfer RNA (tRNA) molecules are approximately 80 nucleotides in length. Their secondary structure includes four short double-helical elements and three loops (D, anti-codon, and T loops). Lineage: Bacteria; Candidatus Walliibacteriota. The record is from RNAcentral.